Non-coding RNA from Microcebus murinus (gray mouse lemur), 1904 nucleotides. Lineage: Eukaryota; Metazoa; Chordata; Mammalia; Primates; Cheirogaleidae. The record is from RefSeq and is a predicted model, not a curated record.
AUGUCACAAUGCUGCUAUAGAGCUAUAUGAAGACUCUGAGUUGACCACCAGACUUCACAACAUUGGGUUCAUUGGUGAUCUUGAAAGGAAAUGUUUGAUAAAGUUAUGGAAUUGUGAAUGUAUUGUGCCUUCAGUCAACAUUACUGAUCAACCCUCUUGAUAUGUCUUGAUGAUAGCAUAGACUAUUCUCUGAUACAAACAUUACAACUAUCCACACAGGGACUACCACUAAAAUUUAUAAAACAGCCAGCUAAAUAAUAUGUAUUUGGAACAAAUGAUCACUUAAUGCACAGCUUGACAUCUUCAUUGAGCCCUCUAAUGGGUUCAAGAAAAGUAUAAAUUUGAACGGUGCUAGAUGGGCUCCCUGCCUUAAUCUGAGUCACAAGCUCCACCUCUGUCAGAGUCUGAGCCCCAGCCCACAAGAGGUUGAGUGGAUAUGAGAGCUAUCGCAAAUGUGGAGCAAGGAAUCAAUGCCAGUGUAAAAUUGGAAUUCAUCUCAAUGACCUCCAGUAAAAUAAUGACUGGCUAAUCUGUGAUAAAACCACAGAAUGGAUUAGCAUGCCCCCUAUGCAAAUGUUAAAAAGAAUGAAUUGGAUUUACAUGGUUUGAAAUGGAAAGAUCUGCAUGACCAAAAUGAAAAAUGCUAUUAAAGGAGAAUGAGGAUUGUUUGUCAAAUUGGGACCAGCUGGGAUUCUUUGGCCGGCUCCCAGACGCGACUGUGAAGAAGCGGAUAUUGGGUGCUCUCCCACCUCGUCAGGAGCGGCGUUCUCCUGCCUGCUCUUGGCACCCCCUAGCAUCCUGUGCCCUGCUAAGGUGUUAACUGACAACUGACAGAUUUUACUAAGAGAGCCUACUCUUCCCAGUAGUAUUUUCAUUUCAAAAGUUGACUUAAAAACUUAAAAAAAAAAAAAAGAAACAACUCCUCUGACAGUCAAGGCAUAGAGUUUUUCCACUACCGCCCACAAAUAUGAUCACAACUCUCCCAUCUUUAAGGCAAAUAAGCAAAUUCUCCCAGGGCACCUGAGAUUCCAUUAGCUGCCAUCCAGUGUUUAUCAAUUUCCAAGCAAAAUUUUCGAUAGAAUAGUUCGUUGUCUUUUCCACUAACCUCCCAAGCAUUACAACUCUAAUGUAAUCUGGCUUUCAUCUUCUCUCCUCAAAUUGCUCUCUUACAGAUCACCAUCAUUAAGAUAUAAUUGCCAAUGCUGGGGACUUUUCUUCAAUUUAAUUCAGAACUCUCUAGUAGAGUGGUGUUGCUACAUUUAUUAUAGUUUUUCAUUUGACUGUUUCUCACCCCAUCUUGAUGGCGAACUUCUUUGUGUCUGGGUCUCUGCCUCAUCCAUCUUCAUCUCACUGUUGUCUUGUACAAGGCUUAGCCCAUGAGAGUGUUUACAAUAUAUUUGCUACCUGAUAUCUGCCGAUGGACUGAGUGCUUUGAAAGGCCCAGUGUGGGUCACCUAUUCGGGUUGAAUAAAAUGUGUGCAAAGGCACAGCAGGUAGUGGAAGUGUCAGAUGGGGGAGGGAUAUUGAGCAGUUUAAUUCAUCCAACACUCUUUCAAUAAUACUUCCCGCCCAUUCUAUAGAUUGGCUCUGAUUACAAGAAUUAGGAAGAUAUAAAGGUUCAUCUGGGCUGGGCAGAAACCAGAACUAACUAAGGUUUGAUGGGGAAAAAAAAGAAAAGAAUCUCUCUGAGAACAGUGAGUAAAGCAUGGGGUGAGAGGAGAAGAAAGAGUUAAGCUAUUAUCAGUUAUGCUAAUAACACUCCAAGGGCACAGGCCAGACAAUCUUUCAUACUGUAAAUACACAUAAAUAUCUAAAGCAGGGCCAGGCUCGGUGGUGGCUCACACCUGUAAUCCUAGCACUCUGGAAGGCCAAGGCAGGAGUAUUGCCCAAGGUCAGGAGUUCGA